Non-coding RNA from Paramuricea clavata, 132 nucleotides. The record is from the annotation of a GenBank genome assembly. NCBI's taxonomy places the organism in Eukaryota, Metazoa, Cnidaria, Anthozoa, Malacalcyonacea, Plexauridae.
AAUGUUUUUAUUCGUGCAAUGGUAAGAAUAUUUUCAUUCGGUGAAAGAUGGAAUGUUCCAUUCAACGAGGAUGGAACAUUCCAUCUUUCACCGAAUGAAAAUAUUCUUACCAUUGCACAAAUAAAAACAUUC